Molecule: ribosomal RNA, 444 nt
Filed under: uncultured bacterium
Lineage: Bacteria
Description: SSU rRNA
Rfam family: Bacterial small subunit ribosomal RNA
Source: RNAcentral
AGAACGAACGCUGGCGGCAUGCCUAACACAUGCAAGUCGAACGAGACCUUCGGGUCUAGUGGCGCACGGGUGCGUAACGCGUGGGAAUCUGCCCUUAGGUACGGAAUAACAGUGAGAAAUUACUGCUAAUACCGUAUGAUGUCUUCGGACCAAAGAUUUAUCGCCUAGGGAUGAGCCCGCGUUGGAUUAGCUAGUUGGUGGGGUAAAGGCCUACCAAGGCGACGAUCCAUAGCUGGUCUGAGAGGAUGAUCAGCCACACUGGGACUGAGACACGGCCCAGACUCCUACGGGAGGCAGCAGUGGGGAAUAUUGGACAAUGGGCGAAAGCCUGAUCCAGCAAUGCCGCGUGAGUGAAGAAGGCCUUCGGGUUGUAAGCUCUUUUACCCGGGAAGAUAAUGACUGUACCGGGAGAAUAAGCCCGGCUAACUCCGUGCCAGCAGCCGC